GUGCUCUCUUCAACAGCACAUAUACUAAAAUUGGAAUGACUCAGAGAUUAGCGUAGCCCCUGUGCAAGGAUGACACCCAAAUUUGUGAAGCAGUCCAUAUUUUU
Molecule: small nuclear RNA, 104 nt
Organism: Pteropus vampyrus (large flying fox)
Lineage: Eukaryota; Metazoa; Chordata; Mammalia; Chiroptera; Pteropodidae
Source: Ensembl